This is a long non-coding RNA of Oxyura jamaicensis (ruddy duck), 1459 nucleotides long. RefSeq lists it as uncharacterized. NCBI's taxonomy places the organism in Eukaryota, Metazoa, Chordata, Aves, Anseriformes, Anatidae. The record is from RefSeq and is a predicted model, not a curated record. The transcript has 2 exons.
CUGUUCAGCGUGUGCAGUGGUAUCAGAGGCCAGCCCUCAUCAGGUAGCUGUAUAUGAGCUGAUCACACAAAGACUACAGCCUUUCAGUGUUUAGCAGCUUGAUGGAUCAGACUUGUUAUAAAUAUUCAUAAACUUUUGCAGAGGAGAGGGCAGACACAAGCUUGGGUUAGGAAAGUGCUUUUUAAUUGCAUGAAAUACGUAAAAGACUCAAAAAUUGGGAGUCAAUUACCUGGCAGUGAUAAAUCACCUCUGGAGAAAGAGGGGAGUAAGAACAAAGGGAAGCAGGAGUGGGAGAUGCUGAUAAACCAUUGCAGCACUCUAAUUUGGUACCACCCCAUAGAUGCUGUACAGUUGUAAUCCUGGAAUGUCUUGGGGUCUCUUUGCUGCUGAAAUUUCUAGUCUUUUUGUAAAACUGCUUCCUUACGUAGAGCUGAGCAACCCUGUACUCGUGUGUUGCCUUCUCUGAAUGUACAUAAGUGACCUCAGGCACACAGUCUGUGAGACUGUAGCAUUCCCCUGCUCUUGUGUAGUGCCACCACGUGCAGUGACUGUUACUUGCCCGUACUUCCUUGCACACCUGGACAAGUCAGGGACUUUGACUUGGUGGAGCUCACAGGGAGCACUGAGAAGAGCAUCCAGAUUUCCUGUCUCUCACUCUGGGGCUCAAUCUGCUACGGUUCAGCAGCUUUCUUAUUUAUCCUGCCUUGUGCCUGGUUACAAGUAUAAGUAGAUGCAUUUCCUUUUCAAGGUGUUAAUAUGCUACAGCCUCCUCACAUCUCCUCUUGCUGUUACAGGCCAAUACACAUGCUGGCUACCGAAAAUGCAAGAAACUACAUGAGGAGGUCAGAUCAAAGCUAUACUGAGCCCUGUCUUAAGUGCUGACAGGGCUUGGCACUGGGGACUAAAGGAGGACAAUAAAGCCCAGGACACUGAAGCACACACAGCGCUAGUAAGGUGUGCUCCAUCAUUGGCCACUUUCCUGAGCAGGCCUGGCCAGAACUGGUGUCUGGCAGGGUACGAGAUGUGCCACUGCCCCCAGGAAGCCUGCUUUGGCCUCCCUUGCACAAUAGGUUGUUCAGUGGUAGCCUACAGCCAGCUGAGCACCUAUCUCAAACAGGAGAGAACUGCUGGGGCAAUCUCCAAGAGUGCGCACAAUCUCUUUGGGUGGGCUUUUUGGAGCCCAUGUCCUGUACAGCGGGACUGCACUGCUUGUGAUGAACUGGGGGCUCGAGUAUCCUCAGGGGGCGGAGUUCAGCCCUUAUUUUUUUGGUAGAUUUAUGCAGGCAACCCUCCUCACAUGGGAGUGGACGUGUACUGCCAGAGGAAUGCAGUUUUGAGCAGUGCAUCCUAGGAUAAAUUAAAAGCUACAUACUUUUUUGGGGGUGGGUUGGGGAAUGUGAACUGGAGUUGCAUUACGUUUUCCUAACAGAAUUGCUGUGUUACUUGUACACAUGCUAGA